Molecule: ribosomal RNA, 241 nt
Filed under: uncultured bacterium
Lineage: Bacteria
Description: partial 16S ribosomal RNA
Rfam family: Bacterial small subunit ribosomal RNA
Source: RNAcentral
UAGCGUUGCUCGGAAGCACUGGGCGUAAAGCGCACGUAGGCGGAUUGCUAAGUCAGGGGUGAAAUCCUGGAGCUCAACUCCAGAACUGCCUUUGAUACUGGCGAUCUCGAGUCCGGGAGAGGUGAGUGGAACUGCGAGUGUAGAGGUGAAAUUCGUAGAUAUUCGCAAGAACACCAGUGGCGAAGGCGGCUCACUGGCCCGGUACUGACGCUGAGGUGCGAAAGCGUGGGGAGCAAACAGG